UAGGCUACAUUAUAUUUUAAAAAAAUAAAACCACCGCCAAACAGAUCGAUAAGCUUCUCUUCUCUUCACAUCUCGUCGUCGUACUUCACAUCUAGCUCUUCCAACGCAUACCUAUCCUCACCGCGCGACUCCACCACCACCAUAACCACCACCACCACCUUCCUCACCGCGCGGCUCCACCACCACCAUCUGAAGGAGAGUUUCCCCACCGUCGUCUUUCCUACCUUCGCGCGACUCCAUCUGUUUCACACAAUCGAUUUGUGAAGCUAGACUACUAAAGAGACUUAAGUACCCAGGAGCGACUGAAUUUGGGGUGGAUUUGUCUCAGGCCAACAUCUCAAUUCAACUUGAUGUUGGGAAGGGAGGAAAUAGUGGCUCAAAUGCUAUAGCACCCGUUGUAGAGAAAUGAGUCGUCGUUGGAUGUACGGUGACCAUACUACGGUGGAAUACUUGAGUGGGGUUGAGGAGUUCCUUAGAUGUGCUUUAGCACACCAACGGAAUACGAAAGCCGCAAAGAUUUAUUGUCCUUGCCGUGAUUGUAACAAUGUAAGGCGGUUAGGUGAUAUUGAUGAAAUUGAGGAUCAUUUAUUUCGUCGUGGGUUUAAGCAAGAUUACCAUGUCUGGUUUUGGCAUGGUGAGAAAAUACUUGAUCGUCCAAGUUCUAGUGUGAAUGAAUUUGAUGUUCUGGCAGAGAGUGAUGAGAGUGAUGAGAGUGAUUCUGAUAUUUCUGAGAAUAAUGAGAUGGAUGAUGAUGAGCAAGAAGAUAAUGAAAUAAAUGAAAUGAUGGAUGCGGUGAAAGAUCACUUGAAUG
Spinacia oleracea (spinach) is the source of this 811-nucleotide long non-coding RNA. RefSeq lists it as uncharacterized. Lineage: Eukaryota; Viridiplantae; Streptophyta; Magnoliopsida; Caryophyllales; Amaranthaceae. The record is from RefSeq and is a predicted model, not a curated record. The transcript is spliced from 3 exons.